Molecule: transfer RNA, 73 nt
Filed under: Aplysia californica (California sea hare)
Lineage: Eukaryota; Metazoa; Mollusca; Gastropoda; Aplysiida; Aplysiidae
Description: tRNA-Ala (GGC) (tRNA-Ala-GGC-1-1)
Rfam family: tRNA
About the family: Transfer RNA (tRNA) molecules are approximately 80 nucleotides in length. Their secondary structure includes four short double-helical elements and three loops (D, anti-codon, and T loops).
Source: RNAcentral
GGUUCUGUGGUGUAGUGGUUAUCACGUCUGUUUGGCACGCAGAAGGUCGCGAGUUCGAACCUCACCAGAACCU